This 1226-nucleotide long non-coding RNA is filed under the name Equus asinus (donkey). RNAcentral's name for it is "lncRNA (ENSEASG00005033700.1)". Lineage: Eukaryota; Metazoa; Chordata; Mammalia; Perissodactyla; Equidae. The record is from RNAcentral.
CACAACUGGAAUACACAACUAUGUACUGGGGGGCUUUAGGGAGAAGAAGAAGAAGAAAAAAGGAAGACUGGCAACAGAUGUUAGCUCAGGUGCCAAUCUUUAAAAAAAAUAAAAAAGAAUUGCGUUUCAGAAAAUCUGCAGAGUCGCGGAGCCAGAGCAUGUGCAAAAGAAGAAAUCGUGACUUGACCAUGGAACCAAAGAUCCUCCUUCCCACAGAACCCGAGGACGGGGACACAGCUGGGACUGGAAAGGCAAGGAGGAAUUCAUAAUAAUCUUUAGGCUCCAGGAUCUGCUCCGUUUCCCAAGGCUGACUGUCGUGUUGACAACCAAUGUGGUUCGCUUUUCUCUGCUCUACAAACCAAGGUCAAUCGUCCCAAACUCUGUGCAUCCCAAGCUGCUCCCUGGAUGGGCCCCCGCAGGCUGCUGCUUGCUAAGACUUCAUGGUUGUGUAACAAGCUUGGGCUGAAGACAGUGCUGAGGGGAGCUUUCCUGGCCCCAGAGCCAUCUAGGAGCUACUUCAGGAGCUGCAGUGUCCUUGCCAAAGCUGUCCUGUUUGUUCAUGCUGUGAGCUGGAUCCUGUCGCAUUGGAGUAUAUUCUAUUCAAGUUCGUGAAAGGACCACACUUGAUGGCCUCAUCGUCUCUCCCCUGGGUUAUUGCAGUGGCCUCCUGAGUGGUCCUCUCCCGUCUAGCCUUAUUCCCACACAGCGCAAAGAGUGCGCUUUUCCAGUCUCCACCACAUCAUGGAAUUCUUUUGCUGGAAACCCUCCAGGGCUCCUCUACUCAAAAGCUAAAUCCAAGAUGUUACAAAUGGCUAGGACCGCCCCCCCCCCCCCAGUCCCACUGUGCCCCUUCCCCUUUCCAACCACACUCUCCUCUCCUGCCACUCCAGGCUCCCCCACCUGAGUCCCACAGGGCUCCCCGCUACCCUGGGCCUCGCCCUUGCCGGUUCCUCUGGUGCCAGUGCUGUCCCCUGGGAUCUGCACGGCUGCUUCAGCAUUUCCUGUCUCUGCUCACACAUCGCCAUAUCUGUGAGAUCUUCCUUAACCCCCUCCAGAAAAUAGCACCCGGCUCUUACCAGCCUAGGACUCUCUAUCCUCCUUAGUCUAUUUGAUUUUCUCCAUAGCACUUAUCAUCAUCUGAUAUGUAUCUGCAAUAUAUAAUAUAUAACAUAUAGCUGUUAUGACACUAAGAUUUCAUGGAGGGGUCAGCCUGUGACUGAGUGAUU